Long non-coding RNA from Lolium rigidum, 505 nucleotides. RefSeq lists it as uncharacterized. The transcript is spliced from 4 exons. The record is from RefSeq and is a predicted model, not a curated record. NCBI's taxonomy places the organism in Eukaryota, Viridiplantae, Streptophyta, Magnoliopsida, Poales, Poaceae.
CCCAUCUCCUCCAUUUCCUCUCGCCUUUCCCCUCCUUCCGUCCUCCUCGUCGCGGCUCCAGCUAGGGUUUCUCGCCGCUCUCCGCCCCACCACCGACCCCGUCAGCCAUGUCGAAGCAAGGAGGGAAGGCCAAGCCGCUGAAGCAGGCCAAGGUCGCCGAGAAGGACUACGACGAGACUGACCUGGCAUACCUCCAGAAGAAGAAAGAUGAGCAAAAGGCACUGAAGGAGCUGAAGGCAAAGGCAGGCCAGAAGGGUGCACUGGGAGGAUCCGGCCUCAAGAAGAGUGGGAAGAAAUGAGUCUGCCUAGAAAAUGAUAAACCAUCUAUCUAUCUGUGUUGCGCUCCACUAUCUGUGGUUGUAACAAACUGUCUUUCAAAUGUAUCGAGCUUUAAACUUCAUUGUCGCAGUCGGGUUGCUGGAACCUACUGUGUCUCAGCCUCUUCUGCUUAGCCAUGAUACAGAUGGUUCCCUAGCUAAUAAUAUGACGUGAUUUGUGACUGAAA